RNAcentral lists this unclassified non-coding RNA (387 nucleotides) under soil metagenome. RNAcentral's name for it is "partial contains 5.8S ribosomal RNA, internal transcribed spacer 2, and large subunit ribosomal RNA". The stretch from base 1 to 120 matches the Rfam family "5.8S ribosomal RNA", at positions 35 to 154 of the family's 154-position model. The record is from RNAcentral.
GAUGAAGAACGCAGCGAAAUGCGAUAAGUAAUGUGAAUUGCAGAAUUCAGUGAAUCAUCGAAUCUUUGAACGCACCUUGCGCUCCUUGGUAUUCCGAGGAGCAUGCCUGUUUGAGUGUCAUGAAAUUCUCAACCUUUUCAGCUUUCUUUGUUGAUCAGGCUUGGAUGUGGGAGUAUGCGGGCUUCUCAGAAGUCGGCUCUCCUGAAAUGCAUUAGCGGGACCUUUGUUGCCUGGCUUUGGUGUGAUAAUUAUCUACGCCAUUGUAGUCAAGCAGCUUUAAAUGAGGUUUCAGCUUCUAACCGUCUCCCCUGAGACAACUUUUUGACAAUUUGACCUCAAAUCAGGUAGGACUACCCGCUGAACUUAAGCAUAUCAAUAAGCGGAGGA